Molecule: small nuclear RNA, 107 nt
Organism: Octodon degus (degu)
Lineage: Eukaryota; Metazoa; Chordata; Mammalia; Rodentia; Octodontidae
Source: Ensembl
GUGCUUGCUUCGGCAGCACAUAUGCUAAAAUUGGAGCAAUACAGAGAAGAUUAGCAUGGCCCCUGCACAAGGAUGACAAGCAAAUUCAUGAAACAUUCCUUAUUUUU